AAUACGUUUUUCUUCGCACU
RNAcentral lists this microRNA (20 nucleotides) under Drosophila pseudoobscura pseudoobscura. Its description in RNAcentral is "mir-2536-RA". Lineage: Eukaryota; Metazoa; Arthropoda; Insecta; Diptera; Drosophilidae. The record is from RNAcentral.